UUUAAAAUCCAGGAAGUUAAGAAGUAAGAUUCUUAACUUACUCCUAAGCAAACAGACAAUAGCUCAGCCCACCUUUGGGGCUGGUCUUAAUUGAUAGGCUCCCAAAACAGGAAGCUGCUAUCCUGAGAUGAAAUCAGAGCGGUACAUUUCUUGUGUUAAUUAUAAAUAUUGAGACACCACUUAACAAGUCUGAACCCCCAGCCCUUUGUCACAUUCCUGAAAAAUCCUUCAAAGGGGGAACUCACAACCUUUCAGUGCGCACAUAUCUCUGAGGUUGCCCGCACUUCGUAAGUGCGUAACCUUUUAACCUUAAACUUUCUCUCUCCAACCUUUCAGGGCGCCUCACCUCCCUGAGAUCGCGUGUACUUUUUCUCAGAAACUUUUACUCUGCUUCUCUACUGUCUCUGCCCUUCAAUUCUUUGUUGCGCCAAGGAACCAAGGAAAAUACACAGUGCCCCCUUAACAGUUACACAACUCUGAGUGUGCUUGAAGCCAUUUAAUUAUACCAUUUAAGUAGGCGAAAUGAAUGGUAUGUAACUUUUAUCUCAACAAAGCUGUGAAAAAGUGAUAAAAACCUGAACUGAUAGGAGGAUGGGGGUGUAAUGAAAAGGAAGGUUGGAGCUGUUAAUCGUAAGAGGCUUUGAGCCUGAGUGACAGAAAACAGGUGGUGUCUUCAAUAGAGAAAUGGACAGAGAUUUACCAAGACUUCCGAGCUGAGAGAACUAUCAGUAAUUCCCUAAACCUAAUAACCAAUCCAUAUUAAAAUUUCCCAAAUUGUCCAAGUGUGGCUUUUAUAGUUUCUUUUUGCUUUUUCUUUUAUUUUAAGAAAAACCAGGAUUAUACAGUGCAUUUGGUUGUUGUGACUGAAAGGGCAAACUCCCAGAUUCUAUUUUAGCCAAUUGAGACCUGGAUCCUACCUCAGCCAAUUGGGACCCAGAUCCUAUUUCACCCAAUCGGAGCUUGGUCUCUCUCCCCUCCAGUCAGCAAGAAGUACACCCACCACCCCUAGACCCUACCAAUUGACCAAAGCCACAACUCAUCACCCCCCAACUACCACAAACCGCCCUGGAAACACAUAAAACCUUUGUUCUGGGGUACACGCGCUCUUUCUCUGGCAUCUUGCCACUGCGUUGGUGUCGAUGAGAGAUUGAGCCAGAGCUAGCUCAAAUAAAGGCUCUUCGCUUUUGCAUCGGUGUUGGCUCCUUGGUGGUCUUCUGGGAUUCGCGACUUUGGGCACAACAUUUGGGGGCUCGUCCGGGAUCCCAGAGACCCCCAGGACCCCCGACCCGGAGAGCCCUGUGCCGGCUGAAAUAUCCAAAUUGUCUUAUAUCAACUCAUAUAAAGCCACAAAACUGCAAAUAGUAAUAGAAAUGAAACCCAGAAUAGAAGCGCCAA
This is a non-coding RNA of Manis javanica (Malayan pangolin), 1395 nucleotides long. The record is from RefSeq and is a predicted model, not a curated record. NCBI's taxonomy places the organism in Eukaryota, Metazoa, Chordata, Mammalia, Pholidota, Manidae.